This 510-nucleotide ribosomal RNA is filed under the name uncultured bacterium. Its description in RNAcentral is "bacterial SSU rRNA". It matches the Rfam family "Bacterial small subunit ribosomal RNA", at positions 32 to 520 of the family's 1533-position model. The record is from RNAcentral.
AAUCAACGCUGGCGGCGUGCCUCAGACAUGCAAGUCGAACGCGAAAGUUUCCUUCGGGAAGCGAGUAGAGUGGCGUCCGGGUGAGUAACACGUAGGUAAUCUACCUUUGGGUGGGGAAUAACAACCGGAAACGGUUGCUAAUACCGCAUAAUGCAGCGGCACCACAUGGUGACAGUUGUUAAAGCGGGGGAUCGCAAGACCUCGCGCCUAAAGAGGAGCCUGCGGCGGAUUAGCUAGNGGUAAGGUAACGGCUUACCAAGGCAACGAUCCGUAGCCGGCCUGAGAGGGCGGUCGGCCACACUGACACUGAAAUACGGGUCAGACUCCUACGGGAGGCAGCAGUCGGGAAUUUUGGGCAAUGGGCGAAAGCCUGACCCAGCAACGCCGCGUGAAGGAUGAAAUCCCUCGGGAUGUAAACUUCGCAAGAACAGGAAGAAUAAGUAGGGACAAUACCCCCUAUGAUGACGGUACUGUUUGUAAGCUCGGCUAACUCCGUGCCAGCAGCCGCAG